RNAcentral lists this ribosomal RNA (234 nucleotides) under Triticum aestivum (bread wheat). RNAcentral's name for it is "partial small subunit ribosomal RNA". Lineage: Eukaryota; Viridiplantae; Streptophyta; Magnoliopsida; Poales; Poaceae. The record is from RNAcentral.
AAUGCCAGUCUCAGAGAACAAUAUCCAGCCUUAUAUAACAUCGUUCGCGAUAAGAAUAAUACUAUUGCGCACGUGCUCGGUUCUUCCCCGCCGAAUAUUUCGUUCAGGCGGGAUUUGAUUGGCCCCCGACUUGUGUCAUGGCAUAAUCUUUUAUCCCGGCUGGAUUCGAUUAACCUGACACAAGGUCGGGAUGUGUUUCGCUGGAACCUUACUACAUCAGGGUCUUUCACAAUG